ACGUACACUCCUGCGGGAGGCAGCAGUGGGGAAUAUUGCACAAUGGGCGCAAGCCUGAUGCAGCCAUGCCGCGUGUAUGAAGAAGGCCUUCGGGUUGUAAAGUACUUUCAGCGGGGAGGAAGGCGAUAAGGUUAAUAACCUUGUUGAUUGACGUUACCCGCAGAAGAAGCACCGGCUAACUCCGUGCCAGCAGCCGCGGUAAUACGGAGGGUGCAAGCGUUAAUCGGAAUUACUGGGCGUAAAGCGCACGCAGGCGGUCGGUCAAGUCGGAUGUGAAAUCCCCGGGCUCAACCUGGGAACUGCAUUCGAAACUGGCAGGCUAGAGUCUUGUAGAGGGGGGUAGAAUUCCAGGUGUAGCGGUGAAAUGCGUAGAGAUCUGGAGGAAUACCGGUGGCGAAGGCGGCCCCCUGGACAAAGACUGACGCUCAGGUGCGAAAGCGUGGGGAGCAAACAGGAUUAGAUACCCGGGUAGUCCCAUG
This 479-nucleotide ribosomal RNA is filed under the name uncultured organism. Its description in RNAcentral is "partial 16S ribosomal RNA". It matches the Rfam family "Bacterial small subunit ribosomal RNA", at positions 329 to 799 of the family's 1533-position model. The record is from RNAcentral.